AGAGUUUGAUUCUGGCUCAGAACGAACGCUGGCAGCGUGGAUUAGGCAUGCAAGUCGAACGAGAAUCUACGAGUUCAAGUUUUCGGACAAGAACUUGUGGAGGAGAGUGGCGGAAGGGUGAGUAACGCGUGGGCAAUUUGCCCUCAAGUUGGGGACAACCCCGGGAAACCGGAGCUAAUACCGAAUGUGGUCAACCAACGCAUGUUGGUAAGAUUGAAGGUGGGGAUCCUUCGGGACCUGCCGCUUGAGGAGGAGCCCGCGUACGAUCAGCUUGUUGGUGGGGUAACGGCCUACCAAGGCUACGACCGUUAGCUGGUCUGAGAGGAUGGUCAGCCACACUGGGACUGAGACACUGCCCAGACUCCUACGGGAGGCUGCAGUCGAGGAUCAUUCGCAAUGCGCGAAAGCGUGACGAUGCGACGCUGCGUGGAGGAUGACGGCUCUAGGGUUGUAAACUCCUGUCAUGAGGGAAAAACGGGCAGGCCGUUAAUAACGGCUUGUUGUGAUGGUACCUCAAGAGGAAGCCACGGCUAACUCUGUGCCAGCAGCCGCGGUAAUACAGAGGUGGCGAGCGUUGUUCGGAUUUACUGGGCUUAAAGCGUACGUAGGCGGCAUUGUGUGUCGGGUGUGAAAUCCCACGGCUUACCCGUGGAACUGCAUCCGAAACUGCAAAGCUUGAGUACAGGAGGGGAGAGCGGAAUUCUUAGUGUAGCGGUGAAAUGCGUUGAUAUUAAGAAGAACACCGGUGGCGAAGGCGGCUCUCUGGAAUGUUACUGACGCUGAGGUACGAAAGUUGGGGGAGCAAACAGGAUUAGAUACCCUGGUAGUCCCAACCGUAAACGGUGUGAACUUGGUGUAGGGGGUAUUGACCCCCCCUGUGCCGGAGCUAACGCGUUAAGUUCACCGCCUGGGGAGUACGGCCGCAAGGUUAAAACUCAAAGAAAUUGACGGGGGCCCGCACAAGCGGAGGAGCAUGUGGCUUAAUUCGAUGCAACGCGAAGAACCUUACCUGGGCUUGACAUGGGGACCCUUCGGGGGUGGUAGCGAAAGUUACCUUUACCAUCACAGGUGCUGCAUGGCUGUCGUCAGUUCGUGCCGUGAGGUGUUGGGUUAAGUCCCGCAACGAACGCAACCCCUGUGGCUAGUUGCCAUCGUUGGUGAUGAGCCGACAGGCACUCUAGUCAGACUGCCCGUGCAAGCGGGAGGAAGGUGGGGAUGACGUCAAGUCAGUAUGGCCCUUACGCCCAGGGCUGCACACGUGCUACAAUGGCCAGUACAAUGGGAUGCAAUACCGCGAGGUUGAGCAAAUCCCCAAAGCUGGCCCCAGUUCGGAUUGGAGUCUGCAACUCGACUCCAUGAAGUUGGAUUCGCUAGUAACGGCGUAUCAGCUACGACGCCGUGAAUACGUUCCCGGGCCUUGUACACACCGCCCGUCACAUCAUGAAAGCCGUCUGCACCCGAAGUCGCUGAGCUAACCCGCAAGGGAGGCAAGUGCCGAAGGUGUGGGUGGUGAUUGGGAUGAAGUCGUAACAAGGUA
This 1537-nucleotide ribosomal RNA is filed under the name metagenome. Its description in RNAcentral is "bacterial SSU rRNA". It matches the Rfam family "Bacterial small subunit ribosomal RNA". The record is from RNAcentral.